This 94-nucleotide transfer RNA is filed under the name Actinomadura coerulea. Its description in RNAcentral is "tRNA-Ser". It matches the Rfam family "tRNA". Rfam says of the family: Transfer RNA (tRNA) molecules are approximately 80 nucleotides in length. Lineage: Bacteria; Bacillati; Actinomycetota; Actinomycetes; Streptosporangiales; Thermomonosporaceae. RNAcentral also lists the same sequence under 1 other name. The record is from RNAcentral.
UGGAGAGUUCGCAUAGUGGACUAGUGCAGGCGCCUUGAAAGCGCCCAGGGCUGGGGACAGUCCUCGUGGGUUCGAAUCCCACACUCUCCGCCCA